UGGAGGUGUGGAGCAAGAAGAGAUCAACGUGUUGCAGUGAGCGGAGGCUAAAGGAAGGAGGACGAUCAUUAGAAUAAAAUCGGAUAGGUGGUGUUCAUAGUCAUCUGAAGGAUAAAAUCAUCCUGUAGCAUUUCUCCCACCUGACUAUAUAUAAUCUUACUAUUACUAAUUGGAGGCUCCUUUUGAAUUCUCUAGGUGAAGUCACCUAGGUUUCCUAGGUAGACACUCUAGAAAAAGAGAGAAAUUCAAGAAAUUCUCACAAAAAAGCAAAACAUCUAGCCCUCAAUCGGUAGAUUCAAAUCAUCAUAGCCAUUGGAUCUAUUAUGUUUUCUAAAAAAUUACCCACCUAUACCAUUAUAAAAAUAGCCUAAAGUAACCCUCUAAAUCUAUAUCUAAAUUAUCCAUCUCUACCAUUAUAUAAAAUUAACUAAAGUAACCCCUAAUUUUCAUCAAAAUUACUCACUCAUGCCAUUAUGAACAAUAUUUAAAAUAACCCCCUAAAUUUGCAACUAAAUAGCCCACCACUAGCACUUACAAAAAACUUAAAGUAAUCCCUUAAAUUUGCAUCUAUAUUAUCCACAUAUGCCAUAAUUAAAAAUAACAUGAGGUAACCCGACAUUUG
Molecule: long non-coding RNA, 622 nt
Filed under: Setaria viridis
Lineage: Eukaryota; Viridiplantae; Streptophyta; Magnoliopsida; Poales; Poaceae
Description: long non-coding RNA (SVIR_LNC010299)
Source: RNAcentral